GACGAACGCUGGCGGCGUGCUUAACACAUGCAAGUCGAACGGUAAGGCCCUUCGGGGUACACGAGUGGCGAACGGGUGAGUAACACGUGGGUGAUCUGCCCUGCACUUCGGGAUAAGCCUGGGAAACUGGGUCUAAUACCGGAUAGGACCACUGCCUACAUGGGUGGUGGUGGAAAGCUUUUGCGGUGUGGGAUGGGCCCGCGGCCUAUCAGCUUGUUGGUGGGGUGAUGGCCUACGAAGGGGACGACGGGUGGCCGGGCUGAGAGGGUGACCGGCCACACUGGGACUGAGAUACGGCCCAGACUCCUACGGGAGGCAGCAGUGGGGAAUAUUGCACAAUGGGCGCAAGCCUGAUGCAGCGACGCCGCGUGAGGGAUGACGGCCUUCGGGUUGUAAACCUCUUUCAGCACCGACGAAGCGCAAGUGACGGUAGGUGCAGAAGAAGGACCGGCCAACUACGUGCCAGCCGCCGCGGUAA
RNAcentral lists this ribosomal RNA (478 nucleotides) under uncultured bacterium. Its description in RNAcentral is "partial 16S ribosomal RNA". It matches the Rfam family "Bacterial small subunit ribosomal RNA", at positions 28 to 523 of the family's 1533-position model. The record is from RNAcentral.